Molecule: ribosomal RNA, 511 nt
Filed under: uncultured bacterium
Lineage: Bacteria
Description: partial 16S ribosomal RNA
Rfam family: Bacterial small subunit ribosomal RNA
Source: RNAcentral
GAUGAACGCUGGCGGCGUGCCUAAUACAUGCAAGUCGAACGAAACUUCUUUAUCACCGAGUGCUUGCACUCACCGAUAAAGGGUUGAGUGGCGAACGGGUGAGUAACACGUGGGCAACCUGCCCAAAAGAGGGGGAUAACACUUGGAAACAGGUGCUAAUACCGCAUAACCAUAGUUACCGCAUGGUAACUAUGUAAAAGGUGGCUAUACUACCGCUGUUGGAUGGGCCCGCGGCGCAUUAGCUAGUUGGUAGGGUAAAGGCUUACCGAGGGAAUGAUGCGUAGCCGAAGGGGGGGGGGGAUGGGCCACUGGGGGGCUGAGAGACGGCCCAGACACCGAGGGGGGGCAGCAGGUGGGAAUGUACCCAAAGGGGGGAAAGCUUGAAGAAGGAACGCCGGGGGGGUGAAGAAGGUCUGCGUGUGGGAAAACCCUUUUUUGGGAGAAAAAAGGGUUUGGGGGUAACGUUGCGUGUUUGACGGUAAUUGAACAAGAAGCCCCGGCUAAAUACGGG